AGAAAUCCAGAAAACUCAAAACGGCUAGAAAAAUAUCAGAAAACUACUGUUUCAUUAAACUUUGGCUUUGAAUCUGAAGGUUUUCAUUUUUUGAAAGGAACUUUUUGCUUCGUCUGGGGUUUAAAUUUGUUUGAAGUUUGUUUUGAAAGCUUGGUUUUGAAGUCAGCCUGGUUUCUGUUCGAUUGGAUAUGGUUUUGAAUUGUUUAAAAUCAAUUUUCUGGGUUCUGAUGGUGUUGACUCUUGAUACUAUUUUGCUGAUACCUCAUUUCCUGCUUCAGUUGUUUCAUUUCUAGGUACACGACCUUGUGACCCUUUUGGUUUUGAAGUGAACUUGAU
This 336-nucleotide long non-coding RNA is filed under the name Nicotiana benthamiana. Its description in RNAcentral is "long non-coding RNA (NBEN_LNC039771)". Lineage: Eukaryota; Viridiplantae; Streptophyta; Magnoliopsida; Solanales; Solanaceae. The record is from RNAcentral.